This 135-nucleotide small RNA is filed under the name Pseudomonas sp. 8Z. RNAcentral's name for it is "P18". It matches the Rfam family "Pseudomonas sRNA P18". Lineage: Bacteria; Pseudomonadati; Pseudomonadota; Gammaproteobacteria; Pseudomonadales; Pseudomonadaceae. The record is from RNAcentral.
GGUGGCGUGCUGCUCAGCCCGUUAUUGCUGUAUGCGCUGCUGGCACUGCUGUUGACUGGCGUGUUGCGCAUGGGCCUGCAGCGUGUCGGCAUGGCGCGAUGGAUUUGGCAUGAAGCGCUGUUUGAUUGCGCGCUG